GACGAACGCUGGCGGCGUGCUUAACACAUGCAAGUCGAACGAUGAAGCCCAGCUUGCUGGGUGGAAGAGUGGCGAACGGGUGAGUAACACGUGAGUAACCUGCCCCUGACUCUGGGAUAAGCGCUAGAAAUGGCGUCUAAUACUGGAUAUGACCUAUCACCGCAUGGUGUGUAGGUGGAAAGAUUUAUCGGUUGGGGAUGGACUCGCGGCCUAUCAGCUUGUUGGUGAGGUAAUGGCUCACCAAGGCGACGACGGGUAGCCGGCCUGAGAGGGUAACCGGACACACUGGGACUGAGACACGGCCCAGACUCCUACGGGAGGCAGCAGUGGGGAAUAUUGCACAAUGGGCGCAAGCCUGAUGCAGCAACGCCGCGUGAGGGAUGACGGCCUUCGGGUUGUAAACCUCUUUUAGUAGGGAAGAAGCGCAAGUGACGGUACCUGCAGAAAAAGCACCGGCUAACUACGUGCCAGCAGCCGCAGUAA
Molecule: ribosomal RNA, 483 nt
Filed under: uncultured bacterium
Lineage: Bacteria
Description: partial 16S ribosomal RNA
Rfam family: Bacterial small subunit ribosomal RNA
Source: RNAcentral